Molecule: ribosomal RNA, 850 nt
Filed under: uncultured bacterium
Lineage: Bacteria
Description: bacterial SSU rRNA
Rfam family: Bacterial small subunit ribosomal RNA
Source: RNAcentral
GGCGUGCUACCAUGCAAGUCGAGCGAUGAAGCCCUUCGGGGUGGAUUAGCGGCGGACGGGUGAGUAACACGUGAGUAACCUGCCUCAAAGUGGGGGAUAGCCUUCCGAAAGGGAGAUUAAUACCGCAUAAUGUAUGAGAGUCGCAUGACUUUUAUACCAAAGGAGCAAUCCGCUAUAAGAUGGACCCGCGGCGCAUUAGCUAGUUGGAGAGGUAACGGCUCACCAAGGCGACGAUGCGUAGCCGACCUGAGAGGGUGAUCGGCCACAUUGGAACUGAGACACGGUCCAGACUCCUACGGGAGGCAGCAGUGGGGAAUAUUGCACAAUGGGCGAAAGCCUGAUGCAGCAACGCCGCGUGAAUGAAGAAGGCCUUAGGGUUGUAAAGUUCUGUCAUAUGGGAAGAUAAUGACGGUACCAUAUGAGGAAGCCACGGCUAACUACGUGCCAGCAGCCGCGGUAAUACGUAGGUGGCAAGCGUUGUCCGGAUUUACUGGGCGUAAAGCAUGCGUAGGCGGAUACUUAAGUGGGAUGUGAAAUCCCGGGGCUUAACCCCGGUGCUGCAUUCCAAACUGGGUAUCUAGAGUGCAGGAGAGGAAAGCGGAAUUCCUAGUGUAGCGGUGAAAUGCGUAGAGAUUAGGAAGAACACCAGUGGCGAAGGCGGCUUUCUGGACUGUAACUGACGCUGAGGCAUGAAAGCGUGGGUAGCAAACAAGAUUAGAUACCCUGGUAGUCCACGCCGUAAACGAUGGGUACUAGGUGUCGGGGUUUCGUUACCUCGGUGCCGCAGUUAACACAUUAAGUACCCCGCCUGGGGAGUACGAUCGCAAGAUUAAAACUCAAAGGAAUUGAC